This is a long non-coding RNA of Oryctolagus cuniculus (rabbit), 3534 nucleotides long. RefSeq lists it as uncharacterized. NCBI's taxonomy places the organism in Eukaryota, Metazoa, Chordata, Mammalia, Lagomorpha, Leporidae. The record is from RefSeq and is a predicted model, not a curated record.
GCGGAGCUAAAGGAAAAAGAAAACACAGCAAGGGCAUUAGUAGCCGCUGCCAGGUCUGGGGCUGUGCACGCCUCCCAUGCGUCUGUAGGGGUUGGGGUGGGGCUUUGUGCAUGCGCAGUGAGAAGCUGGAGGCCAGCCCGGCUGCAGAUCUGUUCCAGGCCAGCGCACUGGUGCUGCUGGACUGUGGGACAGGGUCUCCGGGCUGAGGUGUGGAGACUGUGCCCCCACAGGGCUGCUCUCUACUCCCCAAAAUGCAACCGGCAGCAGGAGGUCCCAGCUCACGGGGCAGGCUCUCGAGAAGGCUGAACGGAAGAUGCCCAAUAACCAUUUAUCUUCUGGGGUCUGGCCAGCCCAUGGGUCUCCCCCCUUGCAGGCAAAUCCAUCAGCCAAAACGUUUGCUCCUGGGUCAAGUUCUAGGCACAAAACUCUCCUGCCCCACUGCCCACUCCAACCCAACCAGGACACCUUCCCAACUCAUUUACUCCUUCUCACCCCUUGUCUGUGAUGCUUAAGGCUCGUCGGGGCUUGCUUUCUCCUCCCAGGCUACGUGAAAUGCCUCUGUCUCCGCCACAGUCAGAAUCAUGUUGCAGGUGACCCCUGGGAAAAGUCCCUUUGACAGAUACACUUUGCUUGCAAACAUCGUCACCCCGUUCUGGAAGGAGGGCUGUGGAGAGUGUGGGUUCCCCAGGGGAGGGAACAUCCCUCAUCACCAUCAUCUCCAGACGAUGAGGCAGGCUGCUGAUACCUACAAAGCCUGCGUAGAACGUGCCAGCGACUGGACCAUGAAGGAGGUCAUGGAGACCAUGGAGGAUCUGUAUGGAUAAAUCUUGUGGAUGGAAUAAACUCAUGAAGAUACUGGUGUCCUGUGUGAGUGCCUCCUUCCCCAGCUACUCCUGCCAUUGCUCAAUGGGCCCAUGAAGAAAGUGGACAUGGUGGCAUGGAUGGAGAUUGUGCAUGGGCCCAGCUAACGGACUUCCACUCAGCAGGGAUGGCCUGGCUACAGCCACUGCUGCUUCUCCAAUAUGGGAUGGUUCCUUGGGGGGUGAUCAGCGGCUAGCUGGUGGUGAGCUGAUUCCAUUGGGUCACAUAUAUCAUGAAAGAGGAAGUGCUUUGUUCUUAUUGGAAGAGACACUUAUUCUGCAAACAGGUGUGCCUUCCUUGAGCACAUACUUCUGCAGAAGCUACCAUCCGUGGACUUAGAGGAUGGCUUACCCACCACUGCGGCAUUCCAUGCAACAUUGCUUCUAUCAAGGAGCUUACUUUACAGCAAAGGAAGAGUUGCAGAGCAUCCAAGCUGAUGGAAUUUACUGGUCUUACGAUGUUCCCCAAUAUCCAGCUGGUUUUGUAGAGCAGCGGAAUGGCCUUUGAAAGACUCAGUUAUAGUGUCAACUACGUGGCAGUACCUUGCAGGACUAGGGCGGGGUUUCCAGAUGGCUGGGUGUGGUCUGAAUCAGCCCAGUAUGUGAGACUGCUUCUCCCAUGGCCAGGAUUCAUAGGUCUAGGAGUCAAGGGGUGGAAACGGGAGUGGCACCACUCGUGUACUCCUCGUGACACUAGCAAAGCGUUUGCUUCCUCUCCCUACAACUUUGCUGGCCUAGAGGUCUUCGUUCCAUACUGCCCCUGGGAGACUCAACAAUGAUUCUAUUGACCUGAAAGUUAAGACUGACAUUUUACUUAUUGCCAUGCCUCGGGAUUAACGUCAAUGGAAAACUUUAACAACGCAGCCCAGGCAGGACUUCUAACUACCAAGGGCACAGAAACUUCAGGAAUGAAGGCGUGGAUCCCUCCAAUAGCCAUGACCAACUGCGGUGCUCGCUGAGAGCAACGGGAGUGGGAAGUGGAGAAGGCAGUUAUAAAUACCAGCUGUGGCCAUGUGCUCAGUUACAGAAACAAGCCCUGUGACCCCCAUGGCUAGUCCCCCUGUCUUUGUGAAUAUAAUUAUGUGUGUGUGUGUGUGUGUAUACAUGCAUGGAUAUAUCUUUCUUCACAUCCUUCUUACCUUAUCAUAUAACAUAAGCUAGCUUGUGGGUUUUAUGUUCAGUAUUGAAUUCUUGCUAAUUUUUCAUCAUAAUGUUUAAGUUAGGAGGUUUCAAGGAGAAGAGCAAAUGUCACUCAAGGAUUUUACUGCCUCCCCUGUGUGAGGAUUAGAGCAUUUUUGGUUGUACUCAGGGUAAUUGUAUCAUCACAGGCAGAAUUAUGAGCUUGUUAUUGUUUAUUUGGAGAUUCAAUGUGGUUCAAGAUGUACAUAGCUGCCAAGUGGACAAGGACUGGACUUAUAAGACAGUUAAUGUUAUGUGUCAGCUUGACUGAGCCACGGGCUGCCCAGAUAUAUGAUUAAACAUCACUUCUGGGUGAGUCUGUGAAGGUGUGUCUGGAAGAGAUUAGCCUUCGAGUGGGUGCACCAAAUCAAGUAAAAGGACUUAGCCUUCGAGUGGGUGCACCAAAUCAAGUAAAAGGACUUAGCCUUCGAGUGGGUGCACCAAAUCAAGCAGCCCUAAAAAGAAAGGGAAUUCUGAUGCACGUUACAACGUGAAUGGACCUCGAAAACAGCCAGCCAACCACAAAAGGACAAAUACUGUAAGAUUCCACUUACAGGAGCCCCCUGGGGUGGUGGAGAAAGUGGAAUGGUGGAUGCCAGGGGCUGAGAGGAGAGGGCCAUGGGGAGCUAUUGUUUCAUGGGUACGUAGUUUCCAUUUAACAGGAAAAGGUUUAGAGACGGAUGGUGGUGAUGGUUGCACAGCAGUUAAGCCUAUUUAUGGCACAGAACUUGUAUACUGUCAAAUGCGUAAAAUGGCGAAUUGGAAUCCUGUGCUGUGUAUGCUUUAUUGCAAUGCAAAGGAAAUGAAAUUCUGACAUGUGAUAUGACAUGGAUGAACCCUGAAAACAUUAUGUUAACUGAAGUAACCCAGACACCAAUGCACAAGCGUUGUAUGAUCCCACAUAUGCGAGGUCCUUGGAAGAGGCAAACUGAUAGAGACAGGAAGCAGAGCAGUGGGUGGUAGGGGCUGUGCAGGCAAGGAAAUGGGGAGUGACUGUUAAACGGGGUUCUGUCUGAAUGUUAAUGAAAAAAUUUUGGAAAUGAAUGGUAGAUGAGGAGACGCGAGUUAGGUAAUGCCACCGAAUUGUACACUUGAACGUGUGAAUUGUAUGCUUAAAAAUGGUUGCAGUGGUACAUGCUACAUUGUAUGUAUUUUACCAUAAUAAGAUCAAUAUAUGGGUACGUUAAAAGCAUCACACAAUACAAAAUAAAAUAAUACAGGAAGGGAAGGCCUCCUUUGUCCUCCUCCCCUCCCUUCAAUAAAUAAAACGUUUCUAGUGCCUAUCUCCCUUGUGCUUGACCUGUGUCUUGAACUUCCCCGCCGUCAGCAGAGCCUGGGAUGUCUUCUCUCAGAAGGAAGGGGCAGUGUGCAAGCCAUCAACUCCACCAGCUCUCUGCCCCUAACUUCUGAAUUCUGUUAUGUUGCUGGGUUUUUCUGGGUUAACUUCCAGCUUUAAACCACAUACUUAGAGCUUGAUCUUCUCAAAUUUCUUAAU